AUACUUACCUGGCAGGGGAGACACCAUGAUCAAGAAGGUGGUUCACCCAGGGCAAACUUGAUUCCCUUUUCUUAACACCAAUUCUGAAUGCUGUUUUAACAGAGAGUAACACCAGUCUCUGGUCUUAUUUU
Molecule: small nuclear RNA, 131 nt
Filed under: Sparus aurata (gilthead seabream)
Lineage: Eukaryota; Metazoa; Chordata; Actinopteri; Spariformes; Sparidae
Description: U1 spliceosomal RNA (ENSSAUG00010024802.1)
Rfam family: U1 spliceosomal RNA
About the family: U1 is a small nuclear RNA (snRNA) component of the spliceosome (involved in pre-mRNA splicing). Its 5' end forms complementary base pairs with the 5' splice junction, thus defining the 5' donor site of an intron.
Source: RNAcentral